Vigna angularis (adzuki bean) is the source of this 578-nucleotide long non-coding RNA. RefSeq lists it as uncharacterized. The transcript is spliced from 2 exons. The record is from RefSeq and is a predicted model, not a curated record. Lineage: Eukaryota; Viridiplantae; Streptophyta; Magnoliopsida; Fabales; Fabaceae.
UGCAGGUAGGCUCCGUAUAAAGUAUUGGGAGAUAACAUUCCGCUGUUUAUGCUGCCUUUUAUUUCCAGCCAGCUUAUGGUUCUCAGUUCAGCUGCUUCUUCAAAUCUACGCACAGAUUUCAAAAACGACUUUGCAAUUGAGUUAGGACAUGACAUGACAUGACAUGACACCUAUGAAGAAAUUGAAGUGGAAAGUUACAGUUAAAAGAGAAAGUGUUUGAGAAUUGGAAAGAUGAAGAUGAUGAUGAUGACGAGGACGAUGCAGAAACAAACCUUGAACCUCGGAUGGGUUUCCAGGACCAAUAGAGAGGGCUGUUUCCCCAUGCAAUUGAAAGUUGUCUUGCGCUCAACAGGUAACAGAUUUUGCCACUUCUCUUCUCAAUGGAGAAUAUCUGUUUUUCUCAACCAUUUGUCACUACUAUCAUUCAAAAUAGAUUCAACUCAUACCUUCUUUCUUUAGUCUUUAUAAUUAUAAAAAAUUUACUUUAGAUUAUAUCAUUUUCAUUAAGAUUUUCUUGUUGCUGUAAACAUUUUAACUUUUAGAAAAGGUGAUUUGGCAACCACAGACAGUGUCGCAAA